RNAcentral lists this ribosomal RNA (253 nucleotides) under uncultured bacterium. RNAcentral describes it as "partial 16S ribosomal RNA". It matches the Rfam family "Bacterial small subunit ribosomal RNA", at positions 524 to 776 of the family's 1533-position model. The record is from RNAcentral.
UACGUAGGGGGCAAGCGUUGUCCGGAAUUAUUGGGCGUAAAGAGCUCGUAGGCGGUUUGUCGCGUCUGCCGUGAAAGUCCGGGGCUCAACUCCGGAUCUGCGGUGGGUACGGGCAGACUAGAGUGAUGUAGGGGAGACUGGAAUUCCUGGUGUAGCGGUGAAAUGCGCAGAUAUCAGGAGGAACACCGAUGGCGAAGGCAGGUCUCUGGGCAUUAACUGACGCUGAGGAGCGAAAGCGUGGGGAGCGAACAGG